Catharus ustulatus (Swainson's thrush) is the source of this 662-nucleotide long non-coding RNA. RefSeq lists it as uncharacterized. The record is from RefSeq and is a predicted model, not a curated record. NCBI's taxonomy places the organism in Eukaryota, Metazoa, Chordata, Aves, Passeriformes, Turdidae. The transcript is spliced from 2 exons.
CAGGAGCGGCUCUCCGCCGGCGUCCCUGGCUUCGCUGUGCUCUGGCCCCGCAGCAAGGUUUUCCUUUUCCCUACUGUUUCCUGCUUGAGGCUAUAGAAGGAACUGAACUUCUGGCUGACAAAACAACAAUUGCAAAUAUGUUCCGUUUUAUCUCAUAUACAACCCUUUUUGCCCUCCUCUGUGUAUACUUCCUCAUGCCUCUUCCUUCUCUUCUCUGCUACCUCAGAAAACACCCACUCACAAUGCUGUGGGAAAGUAGGAACUUGUGCUUUGCUGUGGAGUGCAAGAAAGUGACUCUAUCCAGCUUAUGUGGAAGCAUGACAUGCAUUUUGAGAAAAGCCUUCUUCGUAAUACAGUUGUGGGCUGUCUCACUGUUUUGGACUACACAUUUUGAGCAUUUACAGAAGAACCAUCCAUUGCUGUCAGUGGAACACAUCCAUGAUGGGUGCUUAUAUGGAUUAACACAAAAUAUAUAAAAGUUUUCCUGGAGGAAUCAGGAAAUUAGAGACUUCUGUGAAUCCCAGAGUGGGGCUACCUGCAUCAUUAAACACUUAACUAAGCCAUCUCAAAAUGGAGCUAACUGCUUGUGAAAAUCUCUCCGUUGUCACAUUCAGCAUCAUUAACAGGGAAGAUUUAGUAUUAUAUCAUUGCUUUUCUCUUGA